UACGUAGGGGGCAAGCGUUGUCCGGAUUUAUUGGGCGUAAAGAGCGUGUAGGCGGCCAGACAGGUCCGUUGUGAAAACUCGAGGCUCAACCUCGAGACGUCGACGGAAACCGUCUGGCUAGAGUCCGGAAGAGGAGUGUGGAAUUCCUGGUGUAGCGGUGAAAUGCGCAGAUAUCAGGAAGAACACCUAUGGCGAAGGCAGCACUCUGGGACGGUACUGACGCUGAGACGCGAAAGCGUGGGUAGCAAACAGG
Molecule: ribosomal RNA, 253 nt
Filed under: uncultured bacterium
Lineage: Bacteria
Description: partial 16S ribosomal RNA
Rfam family: Bacterial small subunit ribosomal RNA
Source: RNAcentral